ACUGGAGUGGGGACCUCACGUAGAACAAAGAGCACUCCUGGCUAGCUCAAUUUACAUAGGGCAGGCCCAGGGGGAGGGAAAAAACAUAUAAAAAGAGGAGCCAAAUGGCCGGGGGUCUCUCUCUUCUGUGCCCAAAGGGCUCUCUCUCUCUCUCUCUCUCUCUCUCC
Molecule: long non-coding RNA, 167 nt
Organism: Cervus elaphus (red deer)
Lineage: Eukaryota; Metazoa; Chordata; Mammalia; Artiodactyla; Cervidae
Exons: 3
Source: RefSeq, a predicted model, not a curated record